GUACAAUUUCAAGUAAAUUUGUGAAAUGUAGAAUUGGAAAUCGACAUUUAAAAUGAGAAAAAACUAUGUUUAUAAUGUUCUUAAUUUGAUCCUGUUGGUGUAUGUGUUUGUGGUGUGGCUAUGUGUCAUAUAUGCUGGAUACUAUGUUGCAGAAGAACUUUUGAAGCAUUAAAAAGUAACUUAUCAAAUAUAAAGUGAAAUAAAUUUAAGAAAAGACGUUUGGCUCACAAAACAAACAUUGUUGACAUUAUUGUCACAUCAAUAAUAAUUGAAGUAUCAAAGCUUGGUUAUUGAUAAAUUUAUAGAAAACUAUGGUUGAGUUAGCCUAGCGUUUCAAGACAUGGUUCAGAUGUUUACUCGUUUAUGGGAAGGCAUGAGAGCAUAGUUUUGCAAACAUUUUUAUUGUAAUCAUUUAUGCAAUGUGUACAUUGUAAAAACAUCCUCAAGCAGACUACUGCAUCAGGUAAAUGUUUUGUAAGUAAUCGCUAUUAAAGCAAUUAUUUCAAGAUG
Molecule: long non-coding RNA, 510 nt
Organism: Xenia sp. Carnegie-2017
Lineage: Eukaryota; Metazoa; Cnidaria; Anthozoa; Malacalcyonacea; Xeniidae
Exons: 2
Source: RefSeq, a predicted model, not a curated record